Molecule: ribosomal RNA, 472 nt
Filed under: uncultured bacterium
Lineage: Bacteria
Description: bacterial SSU rRNA
Rfam family: Bacterial small subunit ribosomal RNA
Source: RNAcentral
GACGAACGCUGGCGGCGUGCUUAACACAUGCAAGUCGAACGAUGAAGCCUAGCUUGCUAGGUGGAUUAGUGGCGAACGGGUGAGUAAUACGUGAGUAACCUACCUUUAACUCUGGGAUAAGCCCGGGAAACUGGGUCUAAUACCGGAUACGACCAAUCUCCGCAUGGGGUGUUGGUGGAAAGCGUUAUGUAGUGGUUAUAGAUGGGCUCACGGCCUAUCAGCUUGUUGGUGAGGUAACGGCUCACCAAGGCGACGACGGGUAGCCGGCCUGAGAGGGUGACCGGCCACACUGGGACUGAGACACGGCCCAGACUCCUACGGGAGGCAGCAGUGGGGAAUAUUGCACAAUGGGCGCAAGCCUGAUGCAGCGACGCCGCGUGAGGGAUGACGGCCUUCGGGUUGUAAACCUCUGUUAGCAGGGAAGAAGAGAGAUUGACGGUACCUGCAGAGAAAGCGCCGGCUAACUACGUGC